This 490-nucleotide ribosomal RNA is filed under the name uncultured bacterium. RNAcentral's name for it is "partial 16S ribosomal RNA". It matches the Rfam family "Bacterial small subunit ribosomal RNA", at positions 30 to 507 of the family's 1533-position model. The record is from RNAcentral.
AUUGAACGCUGGCGGCAGGCCUAACACAUGCAAGUCGAACGGUAACAGGAAGCAGCUUGCUGCUUCGCUGACGAGUGGCGGACGGGUGAGUAAUGUCUGGGAAACUGCCUGAUGGAGGGGGAUAACUACUGGAAACGGUAGCUAAUACCGCAUAACGUCGCAAGACCAAAGAGGGGGACCUUAGGGCCUCUUGCCAUCGGAUGUGCCCCGAUGGGAUUAGCUAGUAGGUGGGGUAACGGCUCACCUAGGCGACGAUCCCUAGCUGGUCUGAGAGGAUGACCAGCCACACUGGAACUGAGACACGGUCCAGACUCCUACGGGAGGCAGCAGUGGGGAAUAUUGCACAAUGGGCGCAAGCCUGAUGCAGCCAUGCCGCGUGUAUGAAGAAGGCCUUCGGGUUGUAAAGUACUUUCAGCGGGGAGGAAGGGAGUAAAGUUAAUACCUUUGCUCAUUGACGUUACCCGCAGAAGAAGCGCCGGCUAACUCCGUG